UGCAGAAACAAUGACGGGUCACAGCAAGU
Molecule: non-coding RNA, 29 nt
Filed under: Homo sapiens (human)
Lineage: Eukaryota; Metazoa; Chordata; Mammalia; Primates; Hominidae
Source: RNAcentral